Molecule: long non-coding RNA, 221 nt
Organism: Papaver somniferum (opium poppy)
Lineage: Eukaryota; Viridiplantae; Streptophyta; Magnoliopsida; Ranunculales; Papaveraceae
Exons: 3
Source: RefSeq, a predicted model, not a curated record
CACGUUGCUAUGGUUGAAGAAGGCAAAAAAGGUUUACUACAUAUCUUUGCAGGUUAUGCGGUUGGAGGAGGACAUGUAUUGCAUAUGGUUUGUGAUUUAACAAUAGCUGCUGACAAUGCCGUUUUUGGCCAGACAGGUCCAAAGGUUGGAAGUCUUGACGCAGGUUAUGGAAGUUCCAUCAUGUCUCGUUUGGUCGGGCCGAAAAAAGCACGUGAAAUGUG